This 441-nucleotide ribosomal RNA is filed under the name uncultured bacterium. RNAcentral's name for it is "partial 16S ribosomal RNA". It matches the Rfam family "Bacterial small subunit ribosomal RNA", at positions 338 to 795 of the family's 1533-position model. The record is from RNAcentral.
CCUACGGGAGGCUGCAGUGGGGAAUAUUGCACAAUGGGGGCAACCCUGAUGCAGCGACGCCGCGUGGGUGACGAAGUAUCUCGGUAUGUAAAGCCCUAUCAGCAGGGACGAAGAUGACACUACCUGACUAAGACGCUCCGGCUAACUACGUACCAGGAGCCGCGGUAAUCCGUAGGGGGAAAACGGUAACUGGAUUUACUGGGUGUAGAGGGAGCGUAGGUGGCAUGGCAAGACAGACGUGAAAACCCGGGGCUUAACCCCGCGGAUGGCUUUUGGGACUGGCAGGCUGGAGGGCAGGAGGGGGAGGCGGAAUUCCUGGUGUAGCGGUGAAAUGCGUAGAUAUGAGGAGGAACACCGGUGGCGAAGGCGGCCUGCUGGACUAUAACUGACACUGAGGCUCGAAAGCGUGGGGAGCAAACAGGAUUAGAUACCCCAGUAGUC